AACGAACGCUGGCGGCAUGCCUAACACAUGCAAGUUGAACGAGGCCUUCGGGUCUAGUGGCGCACGGGUGCGUAACGCGUGGGAACCUGCCCUUAGGUUCGGAAUAACUCCCCGAAAGGGGUGCUAAUACCGGAUAAUGUCUUCGGACCAAAGAUUUAUCGCCUUUGGAUGGGCCCGCGUUGGAUUAGCUAGUUGGUAGGGUAAAAGCCUACCAAGGCGACGAUCCAUAGCUGGUCUGAGAGGAUGAUCAGCCACACUGGGACUGAGACACGGCCCAGACUCCUACGGGAGGCAGCAGUGGGGAAUAUUGGACAAUGGGCGAAAGCCUGAUCCAGCAAUGCCGCGUGAGUGAUGAAGGCCUUAGGGUUGUAAAGCUCUUUUACCCGGGAUGAUAAUGACAGUACCGGGAGAAUAAGCUCCGGCUAACUCCGUG
Molecule: ribosomal RNA, 433 nt
Filed under: uncultured bacterium
Lineage: Bacteria
Description: partial 16S ribosomal RNA
Rfam family: Bacterial small subunit ribosomal RNA
Source: RNAcentral